RNAcentral lists this ribosomal RNA (120 nucleotides) under uncultured bacterium. Its description in RNAcentral is "partial 16S ribosomal RNA". It matches the Rfam family "Bacterial small subunit ribosomal RNA", at positions 28 to 148 of the family's 1533-position model. The record is from RNAcentral.
GAUAAACGCUGGCGGCGUGCCUAAAACAUGCAAGUCGAACGGUCUACGGUUUUCGGACUGUAGGUAGUGGCGGACGGCUGAGUAACACGUGGGUGACCUGCCCUCGAGCGGGGGAUAACU